This 246-nucleotide ribosomal RNA is filed under the name uncultured bacterium. RNAcentral's name for it is "partial 16S ribosomal RNA". It matches the Rfam family "Bacterial small subunit ribosomal RNA", at positions 523 to 769 of the family's 1533-position model. The record is from RNAcentral.
AUACGUAGGGAGCGAGCGUUGUCCGGAUUUACUGGGUGUAAAGGGUGCGUAGGCGGGAUAGUCAGUCUGUUGUAAAAGUUCGGGGCUCAACCCCGUGAAGCAAUGGAAACUGCUAUUCUUGAGUGCAGGAGAGGAAAGUGGAAUUCCCAGUGUAGCGGUGAAAUGCGUAGAUAUUGGGAGGAACACCAGUGGCGAAGGCGACUUUCUGGACUGUGUCUGACGCUGAGGCGCGAAAGCCAGGGGAGC